UCGGGAAUUUUGGGCAAUGGGCGAAAGCCUGACCCAGCAACGCCGCGUGAGGGAUGAAGUAUUUCGGUAUGUAAACCUCGAAAGAAUGGGAAGAAUAAAUGACGGUACCAUUUAUAAGCUCCGGCUAACUACGUGCCAGCAGCCGCGGUAAUACGUAGGGAGCAAGCGUUGUUCGGAUUUACUGGGCGUAAAGGGCGCGUAGGCGGCGCGGUAAGUCACUUGUGAAAUCUCUGAGCUUAACUCAGAACGGCCAAGUGAUACUGCUGUGCUAGAGUGCGGAAGAGGCAACCGGAAUUCGUGGUGUAGCGGUGAAAUGCGUAGAUAUCAAGAGGAACACCGGAGGCGAAGGCGGGUUGCUGGGCCGACACUGACGCUGAUGCGCGAAAGCCAGGGGA
Molecule: ribosomal RNA, 395 nt
Filed under: uncultured bacterium
Lineage: Bacteria
Description: bacterial SSU rRNA
Rfam family: Bacterial small subunit ribosomal RNA
Source: RNAcentral